RNAcentral lists this unclassified non-coding RNA (255 nucleotides) under Hevea brasiliensis (rubber tree). Lineage: Eukaryota; Viridiplantae; Streptophyta; Magnoliopsida; Malpighiales; Euphorbiaceae. The record is from RNAcentral.
CUUUCUUCAACUGCUGCUCCACUUCAGAGAGCUUCUCCUUUUGUUUUUUAGGUGGUGCAGGUGGAAGUCUAUGGGGAAACUCAACUGCACUGCAAGAAAUAUCUUUUCCAGAUUGAAGUGCCUGCUGGCGAGUAGUCACGGCCAUUUUUCUCCUUUCAACUACUGAGAUAUCAGCUAAUUCCUUUAGUUUUUUCUUCUUCUUCGGUACUAACUCAGUAUCAGAAACCACCACCUCUUCAUAGUCCGAACCCUGAG